CCGUGUCAUCCCUGCUGCAUUUCUGAUAGUGAUUCCUUGCAAAGCCGGUGGGAUACCCGCAGCUGCCUGGAGUGUCAGACCAGCAUUUGCCAUCUUGCAGGCUCAGGGUGUAAGGUGUUAAAAAGCAAUAUGCCACAGGGCAGUGUCAGUGGGGUGUUGUGGAAGCACAUGACUGUGAAAAGCAGGAGAGAAGAAACAGCAGUAAAAGCAUGGCCUUUCAGCAGCCAACUCUGCUUUUGACCUGCAGCAUCACAUCAAAUUCAAGCCAUUAUCUGGAAGAGUGAAUCGUGCCAUUCCAAGAUGUGGAUAUCCAGGAGAUGGCAAGAGGGAAAGGAGCGCUUGCAGAAGGAGCAGACGUUCCUGUGCAGUGUGUUGUAGUGGUGCUCGUAGCCUUCCAGGGUGUCAAAGACCUGGCAGCACCCAGGGAUGUGGCAGCUGAAUUCAGACACUCUGCAGGGAAAUGACAGCGUGUGCGCCUUAAAUGAAAGCCUUAAUUUAAGCUGCAUGUAUCCCUCCAGUGACUACAUUUGCUUGUGGCAUCUUUUGUGAAUAACACUUAAACACAAGGUGUAAUGGAAUGAAGAUUAUAAUGGUGCUGGCGGCUGGAAACUCUAUUUGCUGUUAUGGCUUCAGCAUCACAUAUAUUAUCACCCU
Molecule: long non-coding RNA, 654 nt
Organism: Melopsittacus undulatus (budgerigar)
Lineage: Eukaryota; Metazoa; Chordata; Aves; Psittaciformes; Psittaculidae
Exons: 3
Source: RefSeq, a predicted model, not a curated record